Molecule: ribosomal RNA, 253 nt
Filed under: uncultured bacterium
Lineage: Bacteria
Description: partial 16S ribosomal RNA
Rfam family: Bacterial small subunit ribosomal RNA
Source: RNAcentral
UACGUAGGGUGCAAGCGUUGUCCGGAUUUAUUGGGCGUAAAGAGCGUGUAGGCGGCCAGGUAGGUCCGUUGUGAAAACUCGAGGCUCAACCUCGAGACGUCGGCGGAAACCCUCUGGCUAGAGUCCGGAAGAGGAGAGUGGAAUUCCUGGUGUAGCGGUGAAAUGCGCAGAUAUCAGGAAGAACACCCGUGGCGAAGGCGGCUCUCUGGGACGGUACUGACGCUGAGAAGCGAAAGCAUGGGGAGCGAACAGG